Molecule: ribosomal RNA, 253 nt
Filed under: uncultured bacterium
Lineage: Bacteria
Description: partial 16S ribosomal RNA
Rfam family: Bacterial small subunit ribosomal RNA
Source: RNAcentral
UACGGAGGGUGCAAGCGUUGUUCGGAUUUAUUGGGCGUAAAGGGCGUGUAGGCGGUUCGUUAAGUCUGAUGUGAAAGCCCCGGGCUCAACCCGGGAAGUGCAUUGGAAACUGGCGAACUUGAGUACGGGAGAGGGCAGUGGAAUUCCUAGUGUAGGAGUGAAAUCCGUAGAUAUUAGGAGGAACACCGGUGGCGAAGGCGGCUGCCUGGACCGAUACUGACGCUGAGACGCGAAAGCGUGGGUAGCAAACAGG